RNAcentral lists this ribosomal RNA (119 nucleotides) under Diaphorina citri (Asian citrus psyllid). The record is from RNAcentral. Lineage: Eukaryota; Metazoa; Arthropoda; Insecta; Hemiptera; Psyllidae.
GCCAACGUUCAUAUCACGUUGAAUACACCAGUUCUCGUCCGAUCACUGAAGUUAAGCAACGUUGAGCGUGGAUAGUACUUGGAUGGGUGACCGCUUGGGAACACCACGUAACGUUGACG